Molecule: long non-coding RNA, 9026 nt
Organism: Alligator mississippiensis (American alligator)
Lineage: Eukaryota; Metazoa; Chordata; Crocodylia; Alligatoridae
Exons: 3
Source: RefSeq, a predicted model, not a curated record
UUCUCCCGCCCCGCCCCGCCCGGCCCGGCCCGGCGCCGAGCGCCAAGCCACGGGCGGGCGGGAAAGCCCGUCGCCCGCUGCCGCGAGGCGCACGCCAGACGGAGCGGGCAGCGGGCAGCGGGCUCCGGGCGGCGCCCCGAGAGCAGGAGCCGGCACCUCGGGCUCUGCCCCCGGCGAGGGCGUCCUCCCCUCGAGCCCAGCACGAAGCUUCGCUAACGGCCCGGGGCAGGGCUGUGUCUUUCGGUCUCAGGCUGAAGACACAACAAAUAUCACUUCAGCGGGACGAGCUAGAAAACGUGAAAUGGGAGCUGCAUGAGCAGGAGCAGCCUGGCCGGGCUGGCGAGACGUGAAGGCCCGCAGAGGAGCGGGGUGGAGAACCGCUUGCGGGGUGCCAGGGACAUGACAAUGAGCCAUGAAGUCAGUUGACUCCCCUCAGCACUGCCCGCGCAGAAACGCUGCUGCCACUGCCAGGCGCUUGGUUUUAAACUUUGGGUGGAGCAGGAAUCAAAGCGGGAGCGGGGUGCGAGUGCACGGGCGGAUCCACCCCUUUCUGUGUCAGCGGGCUCCUCUAGAGAAAAGGUUCCCAAACUUUUUCCUGUUGCACCCCCCCUUCCACAUUUACCGGCUGCCAGAUACGUUUUAUAUUUUCACCCCAUAAAUGUCAAUUAUAAUUAUAAUGAAAAUUAAAUCUGCCAUUGCACAAUUUCUCUUGCAUACCCCCCAGAGAUGUCUUGCGUACACCCAGGGGUAUGUGCACCACCAGUUUGGGAACCCUUGCUCUAGAGCCGCUCACAGAAUCUGCACCCCAAAGUGGCCAAGGGAACAUGCUUUGAGAGGACCUCAGCUGUGGCUCUGAGCCCAGCAAGCCAAGGGCUGGAGCUGAUGCCUAAUCUCCAUUGGCCUUCUGCACCAAGGCUGAGUUGUUAGGACUGGAAACUGGCCGUCCUGUUGCCUGCAGCCCCUGCUCAUUUCAUCUGAAAGCUGUAAACAGAUGUUGCCCCAGGAGAAACUUUUCUUGCAGGGCAUUGUGGUUGUAUAGAUGUUCAUUUCUGGUGUCCUGAGGCAAAGCAUGAAAAUCCAUUAGGGAUAAGAAGCAGCAACAGUUUCUUCUGAGACACUGCAAAGUACAUCUGAACAGUUGUCUUGGAAGAUCAUCUCAGGAUAAGCAGCCCAGAUGGUCCCCAGAGCGUCCCAUAAGACACCACGCCCACCCUAAUCCUGGCCCCUUUUGAACUUGAGGUAGCCACUGUAGCCCUGGUGGCAGCACUCGUAUGGUUAGGGGCUUACAGGACAAGCCCUUUGAGGAGUGACUGAGGGACCUGGACCUCUUCAGCCUCCACAAGAGAAGGCUGAGAGGUGAUCUUGUAGCUGCCUACAAAUUCAUUAGGGGGACGCAGAAGGGAUUGAAGAUGUUCUGUUCACCAGGGCACCUCUUGGGGUAACAAGGAACAAUGGUCACAAACUGACAGGAGAUUUAGGCUAGGUAUCAGGAAAAAUUUCAUCACGGUAAGGGUGGCCAAACUUUAGAAUGGGCUUCCAAGGAAGAUGAUGUUCUCCCCUACCUUGGGGGUCUUUAAGAGAAGGCUGGAUAAGCAUCUGGAUAGGCAUCAGAUGAGCCCAGCACUCUUUCCUGCCUAGGCAGGGGGUCGGACUCGAUGAUCUGUUGAGGUCCCUUCCGACCCUAGCAUCUACGAAUCUAUGAAUCUGUGAAAACCAUGGACACACACAUCCACCCAUCCUCAGUCCCAUCCACUCAUGAGGGACAUCAGACCAAUCAUUCACACAUUGAGCCAACGUCCAUUUUGGAUACCCUCCUCCAUACAUCUAUCCACCUACAAUGAUGGUUCUACUAUCCUUGCCAUCCUUGACAUUUGCAAGUGCAGCACCAGUUGGACCUGGGAGAAGGCAGCAGAUCUUGCCAUUUGAAGAGAGGUCAAGCAGUAGCAGAUACUCCAUUCAAGCCACUGAAACUAGGCAGUCUUCAAACAGGUCACUGCAAAUGGCAGCAUAUGGGCAUGACCUUGAUUGGAUCCAGUGCUGCUCCAGGUACAAGGUAUUGAGGCAGCAGUUCAUGAGAACACAGGACAUCAACCAUGUGCCUGGCACAUGCAAGAAUACAUGGGCUUUCCAUGAGGACCUGUCCCACAUCCUCACAGUAGAUGACACGGUGCAGUUCACCACAUGAUGGACACAUUUACAUUGUCUAGAUCAGUGGUAGACUCCAAAUCCACUAUGGCUGAAAGCACACAGCCCUCCCAGGUGACUACAGUGAUGCCCCAGGAGAUGUGUCAUGUUGAGGACUUGCAGAUUGUCAUGGACAGCAGUACAGACUCCAAGAUGGACCUGCCUCACAUAGUGAGCAUCCCUGAAGCAAAAGACUUGGGCUAACAUGCUGAACUCAGCCAUCUUUACUGACAAAAUUAAAACUAUGCAUAAUGUGAUAAUGAGUUGGUUACCUCACCUGCCCCCUACUGGUCAGGGAUGGAGAUGCCCAGCUAUGUUAGAAUCGGUCCAGGUGAUCUGCGUUUAGACAUUUUGCAGUCUAUCUCAGAUAUUGCAGAGGCACCUGUCCUAAAAUCUCUGUGUAGUUCCCAGAGGUGAAAUGGCAUGAGUUUGCACCUAACAGCCAGCAUGCCUUGGCCCAAAUCAUUUUGAGUGCACUGAACUCACACACAAGGGAUGCCUUGUGAGUUCACUGAAUUGAGCUUUCUGACACCUCAUGGGAGAGUAUCACCCAGGACUGCCCCAAAUGGAGGGAGAGUCUGCUGCAAGGAUCUUAGUACUUUGAAACCUUAUGACAGGGGUAGGCAAAAUGCAGCCCGUGGGCCAGAUGUAGCCCACCAGGGCAUUCUAUUUGGCCCGCAGAGCCCCUAAAAAAUCUAGAAAAUUAACAUUUAUCUGGCCCUGGCUGCCUGUCAUGCAGCCCUCGUUGGCUUGCCAAAACUCAGUAAGCAGCCCUCCACCCAAAAUAAUUGCCUGCCCCUGCCUUAUGAUGACAACAGGAGACAGAAAAAUGCAAGUGGCAGAAACAGCCUGCUGCGAACCAAACGGAGAACCUAGAGCCACCCACCUCGUGUGGAAACUGUGGCAGAAAUGCCACCGUCUGUGUCCCUCUCCAGAAAUCUGUCUCUGCCAGCGUGAGAGGCUGGUGUUGAAUUCCUCAGGGAGGGGGAUCUUCCUCCCUGCCUACAUGACAAAAGCCUGGUGCCUCGGAUGUGGAUUCUCUGGUCACCUGGGGAGGGGGAGAGAAAAGCCCCGCUAACCGGCCCAGGUGACCUGUGAUGCUUUUUUAAUUGGUUGGCUAGUGGCCAGCACUAGCAGCUUCGAUUGGACUGGGCUGCUGAGGUCAGAAAGGUUAUUUAAAGGCCCGGUCCAGGAAGAAGGAAGCCAUUAGACAUGUGGUCAUCGAGGUGAAUCUGAAACUGGGAGAGGAGCUUCACCAUCUGAAACAGGCUCUCUCCUCAUAACCGCAUGCUCAAAGAGUGACCUGCCUCCAGAGGAAAACUCCAACCACCUCUGGAUGAUGCGUGUAGGCCUUGUCAGCCAUCUUCAGACCCACAUAAGACAAUCAUGGAAGACAAUCAUCCUCAACUGCAGGGGAUUGCUGGUGGUGAUGACUGUUCCACUGAUGGAUUCUCAUGUCCUGCUUCAGGAUGAUCAUCUUCACCAACUGAUUUGGAUGAAAACAGCAUGAAGCCUGCCAUGUUUCAAGGAGAUAGAUGCAGGGGUUUCUGUGGAAGUGCACCUCAAACUGUUGAAAACAAAACUCAUAUCACUUGUGUGUGUUAAGGCAAAGCAGGAUGAAUGAAGCAGGGAUGGUAGCCCCUUGUGCAGGCAUGAGGCCUGCCAGGUUUCAGGCAGAGUGGUGCAGAGGUUUCUGUGAAAGUGCACCUCAAGGCUCUGAAAGCAAAUGAAAAAAGCAAAUAGGUGCAGAGUGAGGAGGGUGGCACUCACUCUGUCUGCAUGUGGAGCUUGGGGAACCCCAGCAGUGGGAGGUUCACCUUGAGGAACACCAGCUGCUCCACCAAACCAGGAUCCAAGGAGGUAUGGUGGGGUAUCACAACAUCACCAGCAAUGCUGAACACCCUCUUGCUUGGAACACUGGUUGGUGGACAGGACAGGUGAUCCUGGCAACCAUGGCCAGAUUUUGCCAUACCUGGCAGCAAGUUGCCCAAUAAGCCAAGGGGUCGCACUGCUGCAGCUCCACAUCCUCAGCAGAUAGGUAGCCACUGAGGCCUCCACGCUACCUGCCAGAUGGUGGGGUCUGGUGCUUCUGGACCCCAACAUUGAAGCCAUGCCCUUGGCCCACAUUGGCAGUUGGUGUGGUGGAGGAGAUUGGCUGGUGGUUGGAGUGUAGGCAUGGGAAAGUGAACCCCCCUUUUCUACCUCCCCCUGCCUCUGCCCUUCUGCCUCCCUGACUGUUCACCAGCACCUCUGUCCAGUGUUCGAGGGUUUUGCUGCUGCAGACAGUCCCCUUCACCCUUGGGUUGCACAUGCCCACCAGCACAUGGACCGUACUGGACUGCAAUGGAUCCAGCCGUUUUUUGAUGCCCUCCUUCAGCUGCUUCACCAGUGCCUGAACCUCUGGUGAAAGUGACUUGCCCCAGCCAGGAACAUCGAUCCCCUGGAACUUCACCAUUUCAUUCUCAAGCUCUUGCACUAUGGGGAUCACCUGGGUGAAGAGGGCAUUGCCAGUGCUGAAACUCUCAGUGGCCUCAAGGAAUGGCUUGAGGGCCACCAAGAUCUGGGAGAUGGUAUCCCACUCCAUUUUGUUAAGGGGGCUGCUGAUCCCAAUCUCCCCAACCAAGACCAUCUCGUGGAUGGCCUUCUGUUGCUCGACCAGUCUUCUCAGCAUCACAUAUGUGGAGUUUCACCAAGUCUUCACAUCCUGCAUAAUUUUGUGCUGCAGGAUACCCAGCUCUGCCUGUUUCUCCUGUGGCAUCUUGCCCCCCUUGGUGCUCCGGUGGAAGUAGCUCACCACCUUCCUGCAUUUCGAAAUGAGCUGGCUGGUAGUGAUGGUGCUGUCACUGGCAGCCCUGUCCCCCUCCAAGGCAUUCCUGACUAUGAGGUAGAACUUGUGUGCCACACAGCGGAUGCCAACAAAGUUGGCAUCAUGCGCUGCCUUUAUCAUAUUGGCCCCAUUGUCAGUGACCACGAACCUGUGGGUGAGCUCACCCUGCCCAACAAGCCACACCUGCACCAUGCAGUUCAGGGCCACCAUGAUCUCCCUUGCCACGUGGGACUCAUCCAUCACCUCCACUUGAAGGAGAGCCCACUGAUGCCCUGACUGAUUGCACCAGUUCCCUGAGGGAGAGGUAGGCGUGAUCUCCACCCCAACUGCUCCAGAUGUCUGAGGUGAAGUGCAAAGCUAUCUGCAGACUUGCCUUCCACAGCUCCUCCCUCAAGUACUCCCUGCAUGCCUCAUACAGGGAGGGCACCACCGUCCUGCUAAUGGUGGUACAUGGGGGCACUUGGUACGAUGGGGUCACGAGCACCAUGAGCUGCCUGAACCCUGGAUGCUCAACAAAGGAGAAGGGCUGGCUAUCCAAAGUAAGCAUCUCCCCAGUGCUCUGGGUGACUUUGCCUACCUUGGGAACACCCCCCCUCCCCUUUGUCUCUGCCUUUCCCUCACUGGUCCAGCGUGGCCUGCCUCUGCUUCUUGGGGACGGGAGCUUUGGAGUAAGAGGGGGACUUCUUUUGGGCAUGCUCCCACUGGUGCCAGGCUGAGAAAGAACAAGGGCAAGGGGGUGCUGCCUCCUGAGAUGCAGCAGCAUUGCUGUGGUGGUGAAGUGUUUCACCUACUUGCCCCAACUGAUCUGCCUUCAGCAGUGCUGGCAGGUAGCAUACCUGGGAUCAUCUGCCACCUCAGAAUGAUCCCACAUUGCACCACCCACCUGCUUCUGGGUUGAGGGUGGGGAUCCAGCCUUAUCCCCCUCCUCACCAGGCAGAGGCACAACAACAGGACGAGCUGAGUCACCUAUCCCUACCUCCAAAGUGCCUUCCAGAGAAGGAGACCUGCCUCUAGGGGCACUUUGAGGGGUGUGGAGCACAAACUCAGAUUCCCCCUCCUUCCCCAGAAUUUCCUUCACUAUGGCCCUCAUCUCCUCUGCUUCCAGAUCCAGCUCUUCCUCUGCCACUGAAAGGCUCACACUGGCAACUGAAAUUGGGGUGGGGACUGUCAUGCUGCUGCUGGUUAGUGGUGUUAGUGCAGUUGCAGGCACUGCUCCCACCUCCUUGCUCCCACUAGCAGCAGAAGACUCAUUGCUGCCAGGAAAGAGUCUAUGUUUGGGGCAGGGGGAACUUGCAGCUCUCCCUCUACCCCCUCUCCCUCUGCUGCCAGAAGACCUGGCACCUGCCUUUCCAGCACGCUUCAUAAUGUUUGGUGUGUGGGGUGUGUGUGUGUGUAUGUAAUAUAUGUUGUGCUUUCCUGCACGGUGAUGACAAAGUCAGGAAAAAUACAGAUUUCUUUUUGUGGAGGGAAAGAAUCAAGACAGACUAACAAGAACAUAUAAGUGGAUUUAGGGGGAUGAAUAAGUUGAAAGGAAUGGAUAGGGAUAAGAAUAGGGAUUGCAGGCAAGGGUAAGUAGGAUAAAAGUUACAAGAAGAGAGACUAGAUAGCAAGAGACUAGCUGGCAAGUCAGAGCCUUUCAGACACUGCUGCUCCAAGAGAGACAGCUCACAAAAGGCACAGAUCACUUCAGACAGUUUUAAAUGUUGUUUCUACGUCCCUCUCCCAGAGCACUGCGAUUGGAAGGGAACUCAGAGAAAGAUCACAAUCACUGGACAGGUACAGAUGUCAAUCUCAGAGCAGUCUCCCCCCCCCCCGCCUUUUCCAUAUACGAAAGAUCACCCUACCCCCAUCCCUCUUCUCAGUUUGUUUGCUGCAAGCCUUCCAAAUCAAUUUGGAAGCUUCCGAUUCAAUUUUAACCUUUUAAAGGGUCUCCUAAUUUGACUCAAAUUUGGAGACUCGGCCACCAAAUCUCCUCCGAAUUGAAUCAGCUACCGAAGCUUCGUACAGCUCUAAUGGCCAGCUCAGAGUAGGACUGAGGUGCACAUGAGAGGAAGCUUGUUUUUCUGUAAUCAAGGCCACCAUUGUUCUGCAAAUGGAGAUUUGUCCCAGAGCUCCGAAUUUAGCACCUUCCAUAAACAGCAAAGCUACUUUAAAGCAUCAAAAAUUUUCAUGGGAAAACAGCAUUACUCCUUCCUCCAGCAACAGAAAGGUUAAGGUAUCCCUUACCAUCUUAUAUUGAGACUCAGAAGCCUUCAUCUACCUGUGCUUUCUUAUGCAUUUGAAACACCCAGAAAUCAAAGCUCUAGAAUUCAUUAAGCUAUCAUGCACUGCAUGCCAUAUGCCAACUUCAAAGGUAGCCAUUGGUAAUGCUGGGUCAGACAUUAAGGACUCAGGGCUUCUGGCCUAACCAAGGGCCAAGCAUGACAGUUUGGGACCUGUUCUCACUCCAGGUGAGACUGACAGCAGUCAGUUUGGCCAUCUACUUCAAAGAAGCAGGAUUAGCUACCUCCCAUUUACUGUGGGGUAGGAACAGGCAGUAAUUUAAGUGGAGUAGGUGAAGUGCAGUAAGCUCACAGGUUAUUUCAUCUUCCAGUAACUUGUUUGCAUGCCCAUGGCUAUCCAGCACCCAGACAAUGCUGAUUUAUGGAAAAAGAUGCAUUCCAGUUUUUUGCACAAAUUAAUGGAACACAAAAGCCUGGAGAACGUUGUUAUUCAAGUAUACAAAAAGGUGCUGACAAAGUCAUUUUUUCCCAAUUCCGAUUGCUACUAAUAAACAUGCUUACAAACAACAAAAUUUAACUCCAUUAUUCCACUGUAUGAACUACAGUACUUCAAAUAAAGAUCUUUGACAUUUUUAACCUACAGAUGACAUUACAAAACCAACAAUGCUUUCUUCAGUCAGUAAAACAGGUCAGGAAUUGUGUGGGUGGCUGAAUUAUUGGGUGCCUCAAACUUUACAUUCUGCAAAAAAUAUUUUUACAUUUUGGAUAUUCUCUCCUCUCCUUUCAGCUAGAUGUUAGUCCAUAAAUAGUUAUUCAGUCAUCUGCUAAAGACUGGGAGGAUUUCUUAGUCAGCUGUUCAGGGCCCAGCUAACUUAAAAGACUGAAUGCACUGGUGACUAACAGCUCCCCUCAUUCCCAGGGUCUGUUCCUUGUUUGACAAGGAAAAGUUAUUCUCAGCAAGUGCCUGCAUAUUCCUUUCCUGGCACCCACCUUAAGCAAAGAAGGCAUUAUCAGACAAAGUGUGGGAUUGGCAAUGGAAGACACAUCUCAAGAAUGAAGAAUAUAAACAGGUGCUAGCAUAGAGUAAUACAGCCUUGCAAACUUGCCAUGAAAUUGUCACCCCAAAGACAAAAUCUUAUUGAUGAGGAUAACGAAAAAAAUAAGGUAUGUUCAUUUCUCCUUCCAAAAAGUUCCUCGUCCAAGGCAAGUAAAAUUCUGCUAGUCUAUACUGGGGUAAUUUUGCAUUUUUGUUCAUUAUGAUGCAUACUAUCACUGCACAUAGAGAAAAUAAAAGUGUGUGUGUGUGUGUGUGUGAGAUUUCUCACUGUUCAUUAUUAUAGACCUGUACAGGCUAGGGCAAUGGUUACAAGAGCUACUAGGCACAAAGCCAAAUCCACAGCUGGUCUAAAUUGAUGCAAAUCUAUUGUAAUGGAUGGAGUUAUGCACACCUGGGGACUGGGCCCCUUAUUUCUUACAAAAUCCUACUUGUUUGAUUAUUACAGUAAAAAAUAAUCAUUUAUCAUGCUGACACACACACAAAAAAUGUGUAUACCCAGUACAUGCAUAUAUGUACAUAUAACACAUUGUGGAUCUCAUGGCUGAAUCAUUUGAUCACAGUGAAAUAUGUGUAAAUUAAGUGGGUAUAUGUAUUAUACAUAAACACCUCCUGUAGAUACAUUCCCCUCUCCUCCAUGCACCCCCAGAUACAUUUCACCAGGACUCAAUAAAUCAUUCAAGAUCUUCAUGCAAUGCUGACCCUGACAUUCUUCACAGGCCUUGCACCAUACCUGAAC